Molecule: ribosomal RNA, 509 nt
Filed under: uncultured bacterium
Lineage: Bacteria
Description: bacterial SSU rRNA
Rfam family: Bacterial small subunit ribosomal RNA
Source: RNAcentral
AGAGUUCGAUUCUGGCUCAGGACGAACGCUGGCGGUGCGCCUUAUGCAUGCAAGUCGAGCGAAGCUUUUCAGUAGUUUACUACAGAAAAUGACUGAGCGGCGAACGGGUGAGUAACGCGUGAGCAAUCUACCUUAGUUACAGGGAUAGCCCGAGGAAACUCGGAUUAAUACCUGAUAUUCUUUACAUUUCGCAUGAAAUCAAAAGGAAAGGUCAGCCGAACUAAGAUGAGCUCGCGUUCUAUCAGCUAGUUGGUGAGGUAAAAGCUCACCAAGGCAACGACGGAUAGCUGGUCUGAGAGGACGAUCAGCCACACUGGGACUGAGACACGGCCCAGACUCCUACGGGAGGCUGCAGCAGGGAAUAUUGCGCAAUGAGCGAAAGCUUGACGCAGCGACACCGCGUGUGGGAUGACGGAUCUAGGUUUGUAAACCACUUUCAGGAGGGAAGAAAAUGACGGUACCUCCACAAGAAGCCCCGGCCAACUACGUGCCAGCAGCCGCGGUAAUAC